CAGAGGGCGCGAGCGUUGUCCGGAAUCACUGGGCGUAAAGGGCGCGUAGGUGGCGGCAUAAGGCCGCGGUGAAAGUUCGGGGCUCAACCCUGAAUCGGCCGCGGCGACUGUGUCGCUUGGGCACUGUAGAGGCAGACGGAAUUCCGGGUGUAGCGGUGGAAUGCGUAGAGAUCCGGAAGAACACCGGUGGCGAAGGCGGUCUGCUGGGCAGUGGAGUCGCAAGACUCUGUAGCCGACACUGAGGCGCGACAGCGUGGGGAGCAAACAGGAUUAGAUACCCUGGUAGUCCACGCCGUAAACGAUGGGCACUAGGUGCUCCGGGGAGCGACCCUUGGAGUACCGGCGCUAACGCAUGAAGUGCCCCGCCUGGGGAGUACGGCCGCAAGGCUG
This 390-nucleotide ribosomal RNA is filed under the name uncultured organism. RNAcentral describes it as "bacterial SSU rRNA". It matches the Rfam family "Bacterial small subunit ribosomal RNA", at positions 526 to 896 of the family's 1533-position model. The record is from RNAcentral.